Long non-coding RNA from Tupaia belangeri chinensis (Chinese tree shrew), 981 nucleotides. RefSeq lists it as uncharacterized. NCBI's taxonomy places the organism in Eukaryota, Metazoa, Chordata, Mammalia, Scandentia, Tupaiidae. The transcript is spliced from 3 exons. The record is from RefSeq and is a predicted model, not a curated record.
GCCUCUCUUGCACCCAGAGACUGAAGGAGCUCAGGAGAAAGUAGAGGAAAGAGACGCAAACCCAGCUCCCUCCGAGCCUGGCCCACCUCCUCCUGCUGCCUUGCCUCCCUCCCCACAGCUGCUUCUGCAGACAGGAGCGAAGAGGAAAUGAAGUGGAAUGCACAUCUGAGAGGCCUCUUCAUGCAACGGCCUUCCUGGCACCUCCACUGAGGUCCAAUGUCUGACCAGCCGCCCCCCAUCCCUGGCCAGUCCUGGUGGGCACUUGGUAUCUUCACACUGGCCUCCUCUGCACCAACACUGGACGGUAUCACUCGGGGCCUCAGGAUCCAGCUGACCCCCAGCUAUAAAAAGGACACAUGAUCCAGGCAACCCCCACUGCCACUCCUGAAAACGAGCUCAUCUCCUCACUAAGGCAUUUUCCAGCCACCUAGCCUCUUCCAGUCAAGACAUUUACCCACAAAAAUUUACACGUUAAGAUCAGGAGAGUUCCAGCGUUCUCUAUGCCAAUCCUCUUCCCUAUCCAGUUAGGAGGGCCAAGAGCUACCCACAUUAACAUUAUGCUGUUGAGAUUUCCAUCGGGACAAGAUGCCCUGGACUGAGACUCCAAGCCUGCUGUGUAGGCUGUUCAGAGCCACCUCUGCUUUUUCCAUUAAUUGUCAUGUGAGUCUCAAGCAGACUCCAUCACCCAGCCUGGCUAACCUGCGACAGGAAGCUUGACCCAAGAGAGGAGGCAAGUUCCAAGUAUGACACAGCUCGCUCUGCCCUGUCCCAGAGCUGGGACUAUUCCUUCGGCGUCCAUUAGCUGGUGCUUACGGACAGCUGGCACUUUGCAGUUUUCUGAUAAGCAGGUCAUUUCCCAAUUUCCAAAAGGUCUCAGAAUACGGCACCGAGUAGGCUCAGAUCUAACCCAUCUGACUCUCCACGGUUCUGUGAGUACUGCAAAAACUCACACAUGGUCUACAACACUACGCCUGUCAAACA